GAUGAACGCUGGCGGCGUGCCUAAUACAUGCAAGUCGAGCGAACAGACGAGGAGCUUGCUCCUCUGACGUUAGCGGCGGACGGGUGAGUAACACGUGGAUAACCUACCUAUAAGACUGGGAUAACUUCGGGAAACCGGAGCUAAUACCGGAUAACAUGUUGAACCGCAUGGUUCAACAGUGAAAGACGGUCUUGCUGUCACUUAUAGAUGGAUCCGCGCCGCAUUAGCUAGUUGGUAAGGUAACGGCUUACCAAGGCAACGAUGCGUAGCCGACCUGAGAGGGUGAUCGGCCACACUGGAACUGAGACGCGGUCCAGACUCCUACGGGAGGCAGCAGUAGGGAAUCUUCCGCAAUGGGCGAAAGCCUGACGGAGCAACGCCGCGUGAGUGAAGAAGGUCUUCGGAUCGUAAAACUCUGUUAUUAGGGAAGAACAAAUGUGUAAGUAACUAUGCACGUCUUGAUGGUACCUAAUCAGAAAGCCACGGCUAACUACGUG
RNAcentral lists this ribosomal RNA (497 nucleotides) under uncultured bacterium. Its description in RNAcentral is "partial 16S ribosomal RNA". It matches the Rfam family "Bacterial small subunit ribosomal RNA", at positions 28 to 507 of the family's 1533-position model. The record is from RNAcentral.